Falco peregrinus (peregrine falcon) is the source of this 3294-nucleotide RNA transcript. It is a transcript of the gene named coiled-coil domain-containing protein 157, with no coding region annotated. The transcript has 3 exons. NCBI's taxonomy places the organism in Eukaryota, Metazoa, Chordata, Aves, Falconiformes, Falconidae. The record is from RefSeq and is a predicted model, not a curated record.
GCUGUGCUGGAAGAGCGACUCUCCGCCUUACAGGAGGAGCUGGCUGUGAAGCGGGCUGCUGUGCAGGAGCUGGGUAAGGACGCCUGGUCCCCCUGGCCAGGGCCCGUGGAGGGCGUGGGGCCCCCUGGGGACACCUCCUCUGGGGUGGGAGCUUCUCCCCGUCCUGCCCAGCCUGGGCCAAAGGUGCCGUGUCUCCCCAGAGGGCACCAAGACGACCCUGCGGGAGGAGCUGAGGAGCGUCACGGUGGCCAGGAGCCGGGUGAUGGAGCUGGAGGAGAAGGUGCAGCUGCUCAGCGGCGAGCGGGAGAGGCUGGGCCAGGAGCUGAGCGCCACCAGCACCCAGCUGGGGAAGGAGAAGGCUCAAGUGGAGAGCAUCCUGAGGCACGAGGAGGUAUGGCGGGGCCCGCUCCCUGGCUCUGGAGCUGCUCUGCAGCCCCGCAGCACGCUGUGGGAGUGGGCCGAGCCGGUGGGUGCUGCUGCCCAGUGCAGGGGCAGCGGCGAGCGGGGUGCAGCAGCAGCCCCACGCAGGCUCGCCUGCCCUGUCCAGUCCCUUGCAGGCCAAAGCAGAGGGUGCUGAUGCAGCACGUCGACUGGCUGGACCAGCAGCGUGAGGUGCUGGAAGCCAGCCUGGGAGAGGCCAAGGAGGCCAAGGCCAGGCUGGCAGAGCAGCUGGAGGAGAGCCGGGAGCAGAGCAGGCAACAGCUACGGACGCAGCAGGUCAGCGCUGGCCCCCAGCGUGCGGCAGGCGGCUGCAGGAGCGGGGCUCCUGGGGAUGGAGCGGGUGUGGGACACAGCUGUGCCAUGGGGUGUCAGGAGCCUCCCGUUGCCCUGUCCCCUGGGACCCGUAGCCGGAGUUUUCCCAGGAGGGGGAGGCAGGCACCUGCUGGGACAUGGCCACCCCGCGGGAAAGAUCCCUCUCCCUCAGCCCCUGCACAGACGAGUCUCCGCCGGUUUUCCCUGCGGCCGAGGCAGAGGGGAGCAGUGGGAAGUGACUCCUCAGAGACACUCCCGUGCCUCCAGCGUGCCCGUUCCCGGACACGCAGCGUGCUUCACGGUUGGUGCCGUUGCUUCCAACCGACAUGGCGAGCUCCCAGGAGAGACCCUGCGCAUUGUCCCUUGACCGCUUCCCACUGUCACGGGACAUCCUUCUCACCUAAGGAAUGGGAGGAAGCUUUCCUGGGGCUGCGAGUACUCCCGUGGGACUCCCCAGAUGGGCACCAUCCCCAGGUUUGGGGAGAGGGCUCAGCAAACCUCACCACGUCCCUGCUGUGCGGUACAGGAGCUGCUGGACAUGCUGCGGCGGGAGAAGCUGAACCUGGAGCAGUCUGUCUCGGAGCUGCAGGCCAAAGUGUCCGGGCUGGAGGAGCAGGCGCGGGGGAUGCAGGAGCGGGAGAGGCUCCUCGUGUUCUUCCCCGAGCUCCAUGUCCCAACUGAAGCGCAGAUUGAGAGUAAGGCAGCAGGCAGCAGCGCCUGCUUUCUCCACAGUGGGCUUGUGCCUUGAGGGUCUCCCAGAGCUUGCAGGGGAUCCUGCCAGCCCCAGCCUCACCGGCAGGAUUUGCACAACAGCCUCUGUCCCGCUAACAGCCAGGAAGGGCUGGGGCCGUGGCACUGUGCUAAGCUGCUUCCAUCUUCAAACGCCUCCCUGCGUGGGUGCUGUCCGUCCCACCUCUGGGCCAGGAAAUCAUGCGGGGGGCAGCGGCACGGGCACAGCUCUGUUUGCCCUCACGGUUUCAGCUGGCACAGUUGUGGGUCCCGGCUGCCACCUCCCAGGCUGUGCCGGUGCUCCCUGCUUGGGGCAGGCUCCUUUCCAGCGGGCAGCCACCCUGCUUGGCAGGCAGGAGGGUGCUGCCCACCCCUCUGGGCAGGCAGGCAGGCAGCAGCGGGCUGAGCUCUGGUUCCUGCCACAAGGACGUUGCGUUUUGUUUGCAGGCACCGGGGAGCUUGACCGAGGACAUGGAGAAGCAGAUCCAGGCCAACAGCAUCCCGGUGGGCGUGCUGGAGGAGAACGCACGGCUCAGGUCUGCGCUAGCCAGGCUGAAGGCGGCUGCUGAGCGCGGCGUCCUGAAGCUCGUCCCGCAGAGCCAGCUGCUGUCCCAGCUCAGCAGCCAGCGCGGCCGGCAGGACGCAGGGCGGCCCAGCAGCCGAGGCGGCAGGGACAGCACGGGGCCACAUGAGACGAAGACAAGGCCCAGAAGAAGCUCCCAGUGGCCACAGUGCUCCCAGCAGCCAGCAGGCUCCCAUCUUCCAGAGGGCUCCCAGUGGCCAGCAGGCUCCCAGAGGCUGGCGCCUACGGCCACUCUCGGCAGAGCCCACCUGCAAGCCCGGGACCCUGCCUCUCGCUCCUGGCUACAGGCCUGGUGCCCAGGCUCUGCGAGACAGGGACAGAGAGAACACGUCCUCCCUGCUCUCACCACAGCUACCUGCUCUCACCACACCUACGGCCACCACAAAUAAAUGCUCACGAGUCUAAGGCAGAAAUGAAGUGUCCAGUGAGCUCCCACCCUGCCUCACGGGACCUCGUUACAUGUUCUUUGUGCCUCACGAAGGUGCAGUCCCUUGGGACACCCUGUCUCUGCCCAUCCCGCUGAGACUGCUUGUUGUUGGCGUAGGAAGCCCAGGGAGAGUCCGUGCAGCAGCUCUGCCACGGCUCUGCUUGGAGCCGCCCUCCUUGUGGUGCUUUGCUGUUUCCUGCAGGACUGCAGCACCCAACGAGCCCGUGCGCUUUCCCCCAUUGUCCCUCUCCACUGGGCAACGCUGUGGCCUGUGGUAAAGCAGAGAGCGACGGUGCAGGGGACUGCGGGGCGUUUCCUUCUCCCUCCGCGCAGCACCCCCAGGAGAAGCUUUGCUGGAGGAAGCGGGCUGGGGCUGGCUCGGCCCGGCUGCCAGCCAAGGCGCCCACACACACGCAGCCAAGGAGCCCUUGCAGGGGGGAGGGUGGGGAGAUGCUCCCUGGGUGUGUGAAGCUGCCCCCGCGGAGUUCAGCUGCGCGGGGCCAGGGCUGUUCCUGGGCACUGGAGCUCAGUCGCCCACAGCUUAGCUGCUGCUGGAGUCCCCAGCGUGGCUCUGAGCAUGCUUUCCUGCCUGGCUGCAGCAGCACUUAGCUCGUGCCAGGAGCCGUUCCCAAGAGGUGACUGGGAUGUGGCCGAGCUGCUUUGAAGGGGAAGGCAGAGCUGGGCUGGGGAUGAGGAGUCUGAGCUGCCCUUAGCUUGCUGGCGCUGGCACAGCCACAGCCUGUGAAAACUGCUCGCCCUGCACUGCCAGCGGCCACGAGCGCCCAGAGGAGCCAGGGACCAC